GCUGGGCAUGGUGGCGCAUGCCUGUAAUUCCAGAGGCUUGGGAGGGUGAGGCAGGAGGAUUGUGAGUUCAAAGCCAGCCUCCC
This 83-nucleotide small RNA is filed under the name Marmota monax (woodchuck). The record is from RNAcentral. Lineage: Eukaryota; Metazoa; Chordata; Mammalia; Rodentia; Sciuridae.